CUGCUUGAAAAUUUUCAAUUGCAAUGGGGAGGGGAGUUUGAUUGAGUUGAUCAACCACUUAUCUCAUCCCAUCUAAAAGACUGGAAGCCAGAAGCACCCAAAGAAACCUGAAGCUAAAUGAAUCCCAAAGAAGAUUGGUCCAGAAGAGUCAUGAAAGUGGACUGCCUCUCUUCAAUGGAACUUUUGGGGAUUGGAAGACAAGCCGGAAUCACCUGGGACCUUAAGGAGAGAAGAAGCCAUUGGAUGAGGCAUUUGAAGUCUACUGAGGACUUUGAAUUCCUAUCAAUCAUGUUUGCCACCCUGGAGAGCCUUGGGGAGCUUUCUCUUUCCCCACAUGUCUUUAUCUUUGCGAAGAGAGGGAGCUCUUUAUUUAUAAGCCUCAAAGGUUUGUGCUUAGAGAACUGUUCUGUCAAUGCUGAAGAUUGGGGGAAGGAGAGGGUUAUGAAAUUAUAACAAUUCCCUUCCCAGGCUUGGUGCAUCAUGUGUGAGAUAUGACUCCUGAUUGCUUGAGAGACCUCUGAACCCUCAGUGCUGAUGCUGGGAAUGGUGGGCGUAGGAGGGGAGACAUGGUGAUAAAUGGAGGUAGACUGCAAAGUAGGAAUUCUG
Non-coding RNA from Phascolarctos cinereus (koala), 606 nucleotides. The record is from RefSeq and is a predicted model, not a curated record. NCBI's taxonomy places the organism in Eukaryota, Metazoa, Chordata, Mammalia, Diprotodontia, Phascolarctidae.